Molecule: ribosomal RNA, 604 nt
Filed under: uncultured Lachnospiraceae bacterium
Lineage: Bacteria; Bacillati; Bacillota; Clostridia; Lachnospirales; Lachnospiraceae
Description: bacterial SSU rRNA
Rfam family: Bacterial small subunit ribosomal RNA
Source: RNAcentral
UAACUUAGUGGCGAACGGGUGAGUAACGCGUGAGUAACCUGCCUUGGAGUGGGGGACAGGAGUUGGAAACGACUGCUAAUACCGCAUAAGCCCACGGAUUCGCAUGGAUCUGCGGGAAAAGGAUUUAUUCGCUUCAGGAUGGACUCGCGUCCAAUUAGCUAGUAGGUGAGGUAACGGCCCACCAAGGGCGACGAUUGGUAGCCGGACUGAGAGGUUGAACGGCCACAUUGGGACUGAGACACGGCCCAGACUCCUACGGGAGGCAGCAGUGGGGGGAUAUUGCACAAUGGGGGAAAACCCUGAUGCAGCGACGCCGCGUGGAGGAAAGAAGGUUUUCGGAUUGUAAACUCCUGUCGUUAGGGACGAUAAUGACGGUACCUAACAAGAAAGCACCGGCUAACUACGUGCCAGCAGCCGCGGUAAAACGUAGGGUGCAAGCGUUGUCCGGAAUUACUGGGUGUAAAGGGAGCGCAGGCGGACCGGCAAGUUGGAAGUGAAAACCAUAGGCUCAACCUAUGGAUUGCUUUCAAAACUGCUGGCCUUGAGUAGUGCAGAGGUAGGUGGUAUUCCCGGUGUAGCGGUGGUAUGCGUAGAUAUCGGGAGG